GGAAGGGUGGCUGAGUCCGGUUUAAGGCACUCGACUCGAAAUCGAACGUAGGGUAACCUACCGAGGGUUCAAAUCCCUCCCCUUCCGCCA
RNAcentral lists this transfer RNA (90 nucleotides) under Spartobacteria bacterium Tous-C9RFEB. RNAcentral's name for it is "tRNA-Ser". It matches the Rfam family "tRNA". From Rfam's summary of the family: Transfer RNA (tRNA) molecules are approximately 80 nucleotides in length. Their secondary structure includes four short double-helical elements and three loops (D, anti-codon, and T loops). Further hydrogen bonds mediate the characteristic L-shaped molecular structure. tRNAs have two regions of fundamental functional importance: the anti-codon, which is responsible for specific mRNA codon recognition, and the 3' end, to which the tRNAs corresponding amino acid is attached (by aminoacyl-tRNA synthetases). tRNAs cope with the degeneracy of the genetic code in two manners: having more than one tRNA (with a specific anti-codon) for a particular amino acid; and 'wobble' base-pairing, i.e. permitting non-standard base-pairing at the 3rd anti-codon position. Lineage: Bacteria; Pseudomonadati; Verrucomicrobiota; Spartobacteria. The record is from RNAcentral.